RNAcentral lists this ribosomal RNA (253 nucleotides) under uncultured bacterium. Its description in RNAcentral is "partial 16S ribosomal RNA". It matches the Rfam family "Bacterial small subunit ribosomal RNA", at positions 524 to 776 of the family's 1533-position model. The record is from RNAcentral.
UACGGAGGGUGCAAGCGUUAUCCGGAUUCACUGGGUUUAAAGGGUGCGUAGGCGGGCAGGUAAGUCAGUGGUGAAAUCUCCGGGCUUAACUCGGAAACUGCCGUUGAUACUCUCUGUCUUGAAUACCGUGGAGGUGAGCGGAAUAUGUCAUGUAGCGGUGAAAUGCUUAGAUAUGACAUAGAACACCAAUUGCGAAGGCAGCUUACUACACGAUCAUUGACACUGAGGCACGAAAGCGUGGGGAGCAAACAGG